Molecule: ribosomal RNA, 677 nt
Filed under: Salmonella enterica subsp. enterica serovar Newport
Lineage: Bacteria; Pseudomonadati; Pseudomonadota; Gammaproteobacteria; Enterobacterales; Enterobacteriaceae
Description: partial 23S ribosomal RNA
Rfam family: Bacterial large subunit ribosomal RNA
Source: RNAcentral
AAUCCAUAGGUUAAUGAGGCGAACCGGGGGAACUGAAACAUCUAAGUACCCCGAGGAAAAGAAAUCAACCGAGAUUCCCCCAGUAGCGGCGAGCGAACGGGGAGGAGCCCAGAGCCUGAAUCAGCAUGUGUGUUAGUGGAAGCGUCUGGAAAGGCGCGCGAUACAGGGUGACAGCCCCGUACACAAAAGCGCAUGUGCUGUGAGCUCGAUGAGUAGGGCGGGACACGUGGUAUCCUGUCUGAAUAUGGGGGGACCAUCCUCCAAGGCUAAAUACUCCUGACUGACCGAUAGUGAACCAGUACCGUGAGGGAAAGGCGAAAAGAACCCCGGCGAGGGGAGUGAAAAAGAACCUGAAACCGUGUACGUACAAGCAGUGGGAGCACAGGUUUACCUGUGUGACUGCGUACCUUUUGUAUAAUGGGUCAGCGACUUAUAUUCUGUAGCAAGGUUAACCGUAUAGGGGAGCCGUAGGGAAACCGAGUCUUAACCGGGCGUUAAGUUGCAGGGUAUAGACCCGAAACCCGGUGAUCUAGCCAUGGGCAGGUUGAAGGUUGGGUAACACUAACUGGAGGACCGAACCGACUAAUGUUGAAAAAUUAGCGGAUGACCUGUGGCUGGGGGUGAAAGGCCAAUCAAACCGGGAGAUAGCUGGUUCUCCCCGAAAGCUAUUUAGGUAG